Molecule: ribosomal RNA, 155 nt
Filed under: Ensete ventricosum
Lineage: Eukaryota; Viridiplantae; Streptophyta; Magnoliopsida; Zingiberales; Musaceae
Also listed under: 2 other names
Description: 5.8S ribosomal RNA
Rfam family: 5.8S ribosomal RNA
About the family: 5.8S ribosomal RNA (5.8S rRNA) is a component of the large subunit of the eukaryotic ribosome. It is transcribed by RNA polymerase I as part of the 45S precursor that also contains 18S and 28S rRNA. Functionally, it is thought that 5.8S rRNA may be involved in ribosome translocation.
Source: RNAcentral
UCUCGGCAACGGAUAUCUCGGCUCUUGCAUCGAUGAAGAACGUAGCGAAAUGCGAUACCUGGUGUGAAUUGCAGAAUCCCGUGAACCAUCGAGUCUUUGAACGCAAGUUGCGCCCGAGGCCAUCCGGCCAAGGGCACGCCUGCCUGGGCGUCACG